AAUCAUACACGGUUCACCUAUU
RNAcentral lists this microRNA (22 nucleotides) under Dasypus novemcinctus (nine-banded armadillo). Its description in RNAcentral is "dno-miR-154a-3p". Its record names the gene dno-miR-154a-3p. The record is from miRBase by way of RNAcentral. RNAcentral also lists the same sequence under 5 other names. Lineage: Eukaryota; Metazoa; Chordata; Mammalia; Cingulata; Dasypodidae.